Molecule: long non-coding RNA, 12884 nt
Organism: Gorilla gorilla gorilla (western lowland gorilla)
Lineage: Eukaryota; Metazoa; Chordata; Mammalia; Primates; Hominidae
Exons: 3
Source: RefSeq, a predicted model, not a curated record
AGUUUCACUCUUGUUGCCCAGGCUGGAGUGCAUUAUCCCAAUCUCGGCUUACUGCAACCUCCGCCUCCCAGGUUCAAGUGAUUCUCCUACCUCAGCCUCCUGAGUAGCUGGGAUUACAAGCACCUGCCACCACACCCGGCUACUUUUUUGUAUUUUUGGUAGAGAUGGGGUUUCAUCAUGUUGGCCAGGCUGGUCUCAAACUCCUGACCUCAGGCGAUCCACCCACUUCCCAAAGUGCAGGGAUUACAGGUGUGAGCCACCACGCCCGGCCUCUCAACCUAUCAACCUAAUUUUUAUUCUUAGUAGACACAUUGGUGGUGAGCCAAUCAGAUGUUGGUAUUGAUGAGAAAAAGCAGAAAUGAUUUCUGUUGAUUCUUGAAAUAAAAUUUUUUCCAAAGGACAAGAAGAUCCCAUCCCAGUAAGGCAAUGCAAGAACCUGAAGCAAAAUGCACCUGAGGCUUGCAGUGGGGUACAGUACAGUGUCUCCUGGGAAGGUGGUCACUAAUUUAAUGGGCAGGAUGGGGAUGGGAGAAUGUUUUGAGUGAUAUUAUGGUCUGACUUGACAGUGGAGUCAGACAUGUUUGUGUUCCAAUCAGCACUGCCACUUCCUGAGUUUGUCACCUUGGAAAGAUUUUUUCACUUAUUUCAAUUUCAGUUUUUUAAUAACUGUAAGUUACAUUUCAUCAAAAGCUUAAAUGAUGUUUAAAAAGUCAAAGACUUUGAAAGGUAUAUUUCAGAAAAAUCUAGUCAUAUAUGUUAUUUGUUACAGAUUCUUAUUUACCUUUAUCUUCUCCAGAGUGAGUGUAGUAAGUUUCUUAUGUCUGUUUUUUCUGGUUGCAUGAUUUUUUUUGUUUUUUUUUUUUUUUGAGGUGGAGUCUCGCUCUGUCACCCAGGCUGGGGUGUAGUGGUGCGAUCUCGGUUCACUGCAAGCUCUGCCUCCCGGGUUCAUGCCAUUCUCCGGCCUCAGCCUCCCGAGCAGCUGGGACUACAGGCGCCCGCCACCAUGCCCGGCUAAUUUUUUGUAUUUUUAGUAGAGACGGGCUCUCACCAUGUUGGCCAGGAUGGUCUUGAUCUCCUGACCUCGUGAUCCACCCGCCUCAGCCUCCCAAAGUGUUGGGAUUACAGGCGUGAGCCACUGCGCCCAGCUGGUUGCAUGAUUUUAAAUAGAACCCCAGGGCUUUGCUUUGGGGAAUGCUGUCAGAGAAGAGAAAUGGAAAAAUCUUUUUUCCAUUAAAGCUAUAGAAAGUGAAUACAUUUCUACAAGCAAAUGUGAUAGAUUAAUUGGUGCAUUGUAUAUAUUUCUCAAACCAUCGACUCCUCUUUUUUGCAGAGUCUAGAAUUUGUAACGAUGGGUAUCUCUGUUCUGUAUUCUGUUGUCUGAAUGUCCAUGUUUAAUGCUAAAUUUUAUGAGAUGGAACUUGACACCUUCUAGAAAUGUUCACAUAUAGUUGUUUAUUAAAUUGUCUAUCAGGGAAAUAUUUAAAUAACAUGUUAUUGUCUGAAAAGGACAGAUACUUAUGCUUUUCUUUUUUUUGAGAUGGAGCCUCGCUGUGUUGCCUAGGCUGGAAUGCAGUGGCAUGAUCUCGGCUCACUACAACCUCCACCUCCUGGGUUCAAGCGAUCCUCCUGCCUCAGCCUCCCAAGUAGCUGGGACUAUAGGCAAGCGCCACCACGCCCAGCUAAUUUUUGUAUUUUUAGUAGAGACAGGUUUCACCAUGUUGGCCGGGCUGGUCUCGAACUCCUGACCUUAGGUGAUCCACCCACCUCGGCCUCCCAAAUUGCUGGGAUUACAGGUGUGAGCCACCGUGCCCAAACCUACUUAAGCUUUUUAUAUUGUAGUAGAAAAUUUAAGUCUUACAAUUUCCUUACAAUAUUCUAUAAACAAUGUGUUGGAGUGAUUUUACUCUUUUCUUGAAACGUUGGUCAUUUUCGUUUUUUGACUUUUUUUGUUGUUGUUUUUUUUUGAGACUGAGUCUUGCUCUAUCGCCCAGGCUGGAGUGCAGUGGUGCGAUCUUGGCUCAUUGCAACCUGUGCCUCCCGGGUUCAAGGGAUUCUCGUGCCUCAGCCUUAUGGAUAGCUGGGAUUACAGGCGCAUGCCACUACUCCCGGCUAAUUUUUGUAUUUCUAGUAGAGAUGGGGUUUCACCAAAUUGGUCAGGAUGGUCUCGAACUCCUGACCUUAAGUGAUCCUCCUGCCUCAGCCUCCCAAAGUGCUGGGAUUACAGGCAUUGAACCACUGCACCUGGCCUUACAUUGGUCAUUUUCUUAUUUAAAACUAAGUGAGUAACCCUGACUGGUAAGUAGAAGCCUGAACUCAGUGACUCCAAGCUAAGGACAGCUUUGCCUGUAAAGUGAGAUCAUUGAAGGAGCAGCCAGUUCUGCCUGAGGAGCCUCCCCUGCAGAUGUCCUGGCCUGCUCACAAUAGCCAUGGACAGAGCAUUUAUACUUAGAGAAGCCACGGAGCCCUGAAAACCUCGAAAUCCACAGGCAGAUGCAGUUGGGAUUGGCACAAAAGUGGGGUUGGGAAGCUCUUUCUGGGAAUAGAGUUGUUAUUAUUCUGAGGUUGUUUCUAGAUUUUGUAAAAUAUGACAAAUUUAGAUUUAGGUAAGAAGUUACUUAAUUUUUUGAGUCUCAUUCUCUCACUGCAACCUCUGUCUCCUAGAUUCAAGCGAUCUUCUUGCCACAGCCUCCCUAGUAGCUGGGACUACAAACAGGCACCCCGAUGCCUGGCUAAUUUUUGUAUUUUUAGUAGAGAUGGGGUUUCACCAUGUUGGUCAGGCUGUUCUCAAACUCUGGACCUCAGGUGAUCCACCCACCUCAGCCUCCCAAAGUGCUAAAAUUACAGGUGUGAGCCACCGUGCUUGGUAAGAAGUUACUUAGUUUUUUUUUUUUUUUUGAGAUGGCAUUUUGCUCAGUUCCCUAGGCUGGAGUCCAGUGGGGUGAUCUUGGCUCAUUGCAACCUCCGCCUCCCGGGUUCAAGCAAUUCUCCUGCCUCAGUCUCCCAAGUAGCUGGGAUUACAGGCACCCGCCAUCAUGCCCAGCUAAUGAAGUUACUUAAUUUUAAAGGAGUAUUGCAACAAGGGGAAAGCACCAAUUAUAAGAUGUUGGAGAAUUUUAAAGGUUAGAGAGAAAAGGACUUUCUUUCAUAAGGAAGAGAAAACAAAGAAAAAAAGUGGGAAGGGGAGGGAUAGAACAUGGUGAAAGUAGAUGCUAGAUCGGGGAAUAUUUUACGCAGAAGUCAGCCUGGUUUGUUUGUUGGUUUGUUGGUUUGUUUGAGACGAGGUCUUUGCCCUGUUGCCUAGGCUAGAGUGCAGUGGCACAGUCUCAGCUCACUGCAGCCUCCACCUCCCAGGUUCAGGCAAUUCUCUCACCUCAGCCUCCCGAGUAUCUGGGAUUACAUGUGCAACAGCACACCUGGCUAAUUUUUUAUAUUUUAAAAUUUAUUUUUACAUAUUUUUUUUGAGACAGAGUCUCGCUCUGUCACCAGGCUGGAGUGCAGUGGCGUGAUCUCGGCUCACUGCAACGUAGCCUCCCGGGUUCAACCAUUCUCCUGCCUCAGCCUCCCAGGUAGCUGGGACUAUAGGCGCAGGCCACCACACCCAGCUAAUUUUUGUAUUUUUAGUAGAGACAGGGUUUCACCAUGUUGGCCAGGAUGGUCUUGAUCUCUUGACCUUGUGAUCUGCCCACCACGGCCUCCCAAAGUGCUGGGAUUACAGGUGUGAGCCACCGCGCCUGGCCUGAGUGCUAUUUUAAAUCAUCCAGAAUCAGCUGUGUAUAAUUAUCAGGUAGAAAAGUCAGUGAUUUAGAAGCACACUUUGCAAAUUGUAUCAUGUGCAACAAUAAACUGGAGAUCUUCUUGAGAUGCAGAUUCUCAUUCAAGAGAUCCAGGGUUGGGCUUAUGUUUCUGCGUUGUUGUUUUUUUUUUUUUUUUUUUUUUUGGGAGAGAGUCUUGCCUAUUCCCCACGCUGGAGUGCAGUGGCACAAUUUCGGCUCACUGCAAACCUCUGUCUUCAGGGUUCAAGCAAUCUUCUGUCUCAGCUUUUCAAGUAGUUGGGAUUACAGGUGUGUGCCUGUAAGAAUUCACGGAGAAUAUGAAAUUGAGAGUUUUAUAGAAUUUACAGGUUUAUAGCAUUAUAGCAAGAAUGGCAACAAUCUUUUUUUUUUUUUUGAGACAGUCAUCUUCUGUCACCCAAGAUGGGGUACGGUGGCGCGAUCUUGGCUCACUGCAACUGCUGUCUCCCAGGUUUUAGUGAUUCUUCUGCCUCAGCAUUUUGAGUAGCUGGGAUUACAGGUUCUGACAACAAAGGAGAUUGUGACAUAUUGCUGGGCCUAACACUAAGGUGAUGUUAGUUAUUUGCUUUGGCUGUGCCCUUGGAAGGCAUUGAGACAUACUGCUGUGCCCAGCACCAAGAUGAUGUAACGUGACUCUUCUGCUUCAGGCCUGCCAAAAGAAAAGAUUGUGACAGAUCACUGGACCCAGCACCUAGGUGAUGUGACUCUCCUCAUUUGCCUGAGACCUGCAUAUUUUAGACAUUGUGAUAUACAACUGGAACAAACACCUAGGGGUUGGAAGGCUCCUGCCUGAGUCCCUCCCACAGGAGGCCUUGUGAUGUUUUUUUGUUUGUUUUUUGUUUUCUUUGAGAUGGAGUUUCGUUAUUGUUGCCCAGACUGGCAUGCAGUGGCGCGACCUUGGCUCACCGCAACCUCCGCCUCCCGGGUUCAAUCGGUUCUCCUGCCUCAACCUCCUGAGUAGCUGGGAUUACAGGCAUCUGCCACCAUGCCCGGCUAAUUUUCUAUUUUUAAUAGAGACGGGGUUUCUCCAUGUUGGUCAGGCUGGUCUCAAACUCCUGAAAUCAGGUGAUCCACCUGCCUCAGCCUCCCAAAAUGCUGGGAUUACAGUUGUGAGCCACUGCACCCAGCUUUGUGAUGUAUUUCUGCAUCCAUCAUGCAGGAGAUAAAACUCUGUAUUUUUGCCUGCAUUCUGCCCACAGGGAAGAUUUUGACAUAUCGUUGGGCCCAGCAACCAGUCGUUUUGUCUGUCAUCUGGGCCCAGCACCCAAGGGAUCUCACUCUUCUACCUGUGCCCUGCUUUCAGGAGGGAUUGUAACAUCCCUGGUCAAGCCCCCAGUGAUGUGAUUCUCCUGUUUGAUGCCUGCCCUCAGGGAGGAUUGUGACAUAGCCCUGGCCCAACACACAGUUGAUGUAACUCUUGAAUUUGCUCUUUACAUACAGGUAGGAUUGUGACAUAUAUCUGGCCAAGCGUACAGAUGUAAUAAUGACUGUCAUACCUUGAAGAAGCCAAUAGGAGAGAGAAUGUUGCUCUCAGGCUUAGGAAAAUGAGGAAGUCUUUCUGUACAAAAGUCAUAAAGAAUUACUACUCUCUUACAUAUAUAAAGCCCUAGUGUGUUACAGAGAAUGUCAUAACAGGGCCCAGCACACAAGUGAGAUUGUGUUUGUCCUAUGCACACCACACCAACCUUUACAGUUGUCACCCUGACCCAUUGACAGAGUCUGCUAGUGAGGUUCUGAAUUACAUGUGAACACAGUCCGCAGUUGGAAUUGUGACUGUCAUAUGUGAACAUCUGGCUACAGUUGGGAUGGUGACUCAUUUCUAAAUCCAGAUCAUAGGAAGGUGAAGACUCUCCUAUCUGGACUCAGUCAGUGAGAGAGAUGUUGACUCUCAUAUCUGGGCUUAGAACCACAGGAAAGAUUCUGGAGCUCCUUGUGCAAAGGUCACAGAGGAUUAUCAAUCUUGCAUAUUGUAUAAAGUCCUCAGGUGACACAGAGUGUCUCUCGAAUGCACACCCAGGCAACAGUAAAGAUUGUCGUUCUCCCACAUAAACACAUCCCACUGUUGAAGUUCUGAAUUUCACAGAGGCUGUCAAAAGUUGGAUAAUUGCCUCUCAUGUGUGGAUCUGGUCCACAGGUGGGUUAGUGACUUCCAGACCAAGGUUCAGCGCACAUGUAAGGCUGUGACUACACUAAGAAGAUACAGUCUGCAGAAGAAAUUGUGGCUCUUUUGCACACAUUCUGUCAAUCAUUGCAAUUGCGACUCAUGUACUUAGACCCAACAUACAGGAGGUGUUGACUUUCAUACCUUUAGAACCUGGACAUGUUUGGAAUUUCUAAUCUAAUCCCUGGACUUUCCUGCAGGUGCGAUUGUGUGCAUUGCAAAGCACUUUAGUGAUUUGACUCUCCUGCCUUGGCCAAGCACACAAAUGAGAUUGUGACAUAUGGCUUGACUCUGAACCUCCAAGAUGUGACUCUUUUUUCCAGCCUUGGAGCUGCCCACAUGUUGCAUUGUGACAUAUUCCUAAGCCCUGCACUCAGGUUAUGUGACUCUCCUUUUUUGCUUAGGCCCUGAAUAUUUUUCAUGUUAAGACAUACUAGUAGGUCCAACACCUAUAAAAUGGGAGGCUACCACCUGGGCUCUUUCUACAGAGGGCCUUGUGACAUACCUCUGCAUCAAUAACCUAGGAGAUGUGAUGCUCCAUUUUUGCCUGUACGUGCCCCACAGAAAAAAUUGUGGCUGGCCCAGGUACCAGGUGAUGUGUUUCUGCUGCCUGGGCCUGGACCACAGAGAGCAUUGUUACUGAUUGCUGGGCUCAGCACCCAGGUGAUGUGACUCUGCUGCCUGUGUGCUGCUUUCAGGAGAAGGUUGUAACUUAUUUCUGGCUGAGUAUGCAGUCACACUCCUGACUGAUCUCUGCCCUCAGAAAAGGUUGUGUCAAGCUGGGCCCGGUGGCUCAUGCCAGUAAUCCGCAGCACUUAGGGAGACCGAGGUGGGUGGAUCGCCUGAGGAGUUUGAGACCAGAUGGCCAACAUGGUGAAACCCCGUCUCUACUAAAAAUCCAAAAAUUAAUCGGGUGUGGUGGCAGGCGCCUGUAAUCUCAGCUAUUUGGGAGCCUGAGGCAGGAGAAUUGCUUGAACCCGGGAGGUGGAGGUUGCAGUGAGCCAAGAUCAUGCCACUGCACUCCAGCCUGGGCAGCAGAGCAAGAUUCCAUCUUGGGAAAAAAAAAAAAAAAUUACAAAAAUUAGCCGGGCGUGGUGGUAUGCACCUAUAGUCCCAGCUACUUGAGAGGCUGAGGCACAGCAGUCACUUGAACCUAGGAGGUGGAGGUUGCAGUGAGCCAAGACUGUGCCAUUGCACUCCAGCCUGGGCAACAAGAGCAAAACUCCAUCUCAAAAAAAAAAAAAAAAAAAAAAAAAAAGGUUGUGUCAUAUUCCUGGCUAAAAACCCAGAUGAUGUGACUCUCCUCUCUCCCUAUUCACAGGCAGGAUUGUAAAAUAUAUCUUUUUUUUUUUUUUGAGACAGUUUCAUUUUGUCACCCAGGCUGGAGUGCAGUGGCAUGAUCUUGGCUCACUGCAACCUCCGCUUCCUGGGUUCAAGCAGUUCUCUUGCCUCAGCCUCCUAAGUAGCUAGCCACCACACCUGGCUAAUUUUUGUAUUUCUAGUAGAGAUAGGGUUUCCCAAUGUUGGUGAGGCUGAUCUCAAACGCUUGACCUCAGGUGAUCCACCUGCCUCAGCCUCCUAAAGUGCUGGGAUUACAGGUGUCAGCGACUGCGCCUGGCCUGUAAAAUAUAUCUUGACCUAGAUCACAGAUGCAAUGAUUACUCUCAUACCUCACAGUAUUUAAUAGGAGAGAUACUCUCUCUCUCUUGCUCUCACUCUUUUUUUUGAGACAGUUUCAUUCUUGUUACCCAGGCUGCAGUGCAAUGGCGUGAUCUCUGCCCACCACAACCUCUGCCUCCCAGGUUCAAGCGAUUCUCCUGCCUCAGCCUCCCACGUAGCUGAGAUUACAGGCAUGUGCCACCACGCCCAGCUAAUUUUGUAUUUUUAGUAGAGAUGGGGUUUCUCUAGGUUGGUUAGGCUGGUCUCGAACUCCCAACCUCAGGUGAUCUGCCCACCUCGGCCUUCCAAAGUGCUGGGAUUACAGGCAUGAACCACUGUGCCCAGCCCAAGAUGCUGUCUCUUAACAGCUAGGCCUAGAGUCAUGAAUAUGAUUCUGGGUCUCCUUGUACAAAGGUCAUGAAGAAUUGCCACUUUCUUGCAUACUAUAUAAAUCUCUUGUGGUACAGAGAGUGUCAUUACAGGGUUCAGCAUACAGAUGAGAUUCUUUCUCAUAUACACUCCCCACCAACUGUUAGAAUUGUCACCCUCACACAUGGACAGAGCCCACUGGUGAGGCCCUGAAUCACACACACACACACAGUCUACAGUUAAAAUUGUGACUGUCGGCCGGGCGCGGUGGCUCACGCCUGUAAUCCCAGCACUUUGGGAGGCCGAGGCGGGUGGAUCACGAGGUCAGGAGAUCGAGACCAUCCUGGCUAACACGGUGAAACCCCGUCUCUACUAAAAAUACUAAAAAUUAGCCGGGCGUGGUGGCGGGCGCCUGUAGUCCCAGCUACUCGGGAGGCUGAGGCAGGAGAAUGGCGUGAACCCAGGAGGCGGAGCUUGCAGUGAGCCGAGAUCGCGCCACUGCACUCCAGCCUGGGCGACAGAGCGAGACUCCGUCUCAAAAAAAAAAAAAAAAAAAAAAUUGUGACUGUCAUAUGUGAAUAUCUGGCUAGAGUUGAAAUAAUGACUUAUUUCUAAAUCCAGUUCAUAGGCAGGUGAGAAUUCUACCUGUCUAAGCCUAGAUAGGAUAGUCAACAUGUCCCUAAUUGGCUGGGGGACAUGUUGACUCUCCUACCUGGGCUUAGGGCCAAACAGUUCAUGGAAGGGAUGAAGGCUCUGGGCUCUCACGCACAGAUCCAGUUGGUGAGAUUGUCACUAGCAUACUUAGACCCAGCAUACUCUGAUACCUCAAACUGGGACAUGUGCAGGAUUUUUAAUUACUGGACCUUCCUGCAGGUGUGAUUGUGACAUAUGUCUUUGUUACACACCUGAGUGGUUUGAUGCUCCUGCCUUGUUUCAACCCAAAGUGAAGAUUGUGAUGUAUCACUGGACCCAGCAUUUCAGUGAUGUGACUCUUCUUUUUGGACACCACAAAUUUUGGGUAUUGUCAAAUAUUGCUGGAUCCUGUACCCAUGUUAUGUGACUCUCCAACCUAUGUCCUUCAUGUUGUGCCAUAUUGCAGCACAAUGUGUCACAUUAGACAUCAUUACAUAUUGCUGGGCUCAACACCCAAGUGAUGUAACAUUUUCCUGGGCCUUGACUACAGGGGGCUUUGUGACAUAACUGAAUGCCCAUAACCAUGGUGAUGUUACUCUUCUCCUGCCUGGUCUCUGCUCACAGGGAAAUUAUGACAUAUCAUUGGCCUAGCAUCUUGGUGAUGUGACUCUCCUCUUUUUCUCAGGCCCCACAUAUUUGAGUAUUGUGACAUACCCACAUGUGACACUGGGCUUAACACCUAAGGGAUGGGAGUUCUCUACCUGGCCCCUUCCUGAAGGGGGCAUUGUGACAUACUUCUGCACAGGUAUGUCACAGUUAUUACCUAGGAGAUGUGACUCUCCUCUUUUGCCUGCACCCUGCUUACAGGGAAAAUUGUGGCACAUUUCUGUGGCCAGCAACCAGGUGAUGUGUUUCUCCUGCUUGGGUCUUUAUUACAGAAAAGAUGGUUGACAUAUCACUAGGCCCAGCAUCUAGGCGAUGUGACUGUCUUCUUCUGCCUGGUCCCUGCUUACAGGAACAUUGUAGCAUAUUGCUAUGCCCAGCACUUUUCUCUUCUUUUAGGUUUUGCCUGCAGGAGACUUUGUGACAUUGCUGGGCCCUGCACUGACAUUAUUUGACUCUUCUGUCUCUGCCUACUUGGGCCAUUGUGACAUAUUGCUGGGUCCAACAUCCAGGUGAUGUAACUUUUAUGCCUGGGUCCUGGCACCAGAGGACAUUGUCUUUGCACCACUCACAGAGGUGAUGUGAUUUUCUUCUGUUACCUGGUCUCUGCUCACAGGAAGAAUUGUGACCUUGGCCAGGCUCGGUGGCUCACACCUGUAAUCAUAGCACUUUGGGAGGCCGAGGCGAGUGGAUACCUGAGGUCAGGAGUUCGAGACCAGCCUGGCCAACAUGGUGAAACCCUGUCUUACUUAAAACACAAAAAUUAGCUGGGCGUGGUGGCAGGCGCCUGUAGUUCCAGCCACCCACGAGGCUGAGGCAGGAGAAUCGCUUGAACCGGGUAGGCGGAGAUUGCAGUGAGCCGAGAUUGCGCCACUGCACUCCAGCCUGGGUGACAGGGAGACUCCAUCUCAAAGAAAAAAAAAGUGACCUUUUGCAGCACAUAGCUGAUUUGACUGUGCUUUGUGGAGUACACCAAGCAGGUUGUCAAACUGGUGGUCCCUUUACUGAAAUUUUAUUUCCACGAUGGUGUUGGAGAGGCAGCAGCAGAAUCCGUGCCUUUUCUUCUGGAGUGUGUGAGAGUCCGUGGUCCUGAGUAUCUCACACAGAUGUGGCAAUUUAUGUGAUGUUCUGAUUAAGACCAUUGGUACAGAAACAGAUUCAGACGUCCUCAGAAAUAAUGCAUUGUUUAGCAAAGUGCAUUGAAGUUAUGGGAGACGGAUGCCUUAAUAAUGAACACUUCGAAGAACACCUUUGCCACAUGGCCUCAGGACCUUCUGAGGGCUGUGUCAUGGGGCAUGGUCACUCAUAUUUGACUCAAUAAAUUUCUUCAAAUAUUUUAAAGAGUUUGACCCUUAGUCGACACAGUUGAUGUGUGGAGCACUCUUGCUGUGCCAGCCAGUGUUUCAAAGCCAUUUAGAUAUUUUUGCUCAUUAAGUCUUCAUCAGCAAAAACUCUGUAGGUAAGUUUAAUGAUUCCUCGUGUCACAGACAAGGUGACUGAAAGAAGAAAAAAUUCAGGAACUUGCCCAAAGUCAGCCAGAUAGGAAGUGGCUGAGCUAAACUGUGCUCUAACCUACUCCUUGCUUCCCUUUUACAGACAAUGCCAUUGUGCAUUGAUUAAACAACUAUUCAUUGAGCACCUGCCAUGGGCUGAGGCCUGUGAUUGCCACUGGGAAUAUAGUGUAAACAAGACAUAGCUCCCCAGAACAAAAGUAUAAGGAAGUAAACAACAAACACCAAGAUUAUAUCAAAGAUGUGAAAUGCCAGAACAUGCCGCUGCUAUAAAGAAUGUCCACAGGGUUAUUGGGGGUAGGUUCUAAUUAAAAGGAGGUGAGUAAAGCAAAGCUUUCCAGAGACUGCCAGAGCUGAGCCAGGUCUGGAGGCUCUUAUCAAUGUCAGUACUUAGUUUGUCUCAGUUUCUUUGUUUGCAGCCCCUAAAAUCUAGAGUUUGUCUCAGUUUCUUUGUAUGCAGCCCCUAAAAUCUUUAGAAUGUCUGAAAAGAGAAGCAUCUUUUGUAUGUUAAUGAGAUGACUUCUGGCUGGAGGCUUCUGGACAGCCUCAGGACCAGGGUUGAUUGCCAGAGAAACCAAUUGUGUAAUAGAGGAUUAAAACUCUCAGCUGGCUGGGCGUGGUGGCUCAUCCCUGUAAUCCCAGCACUUUGGGAGGCAGAUCACCUAAGGUCAGGAGUUCAAGACCAGACCAGCCAAAAUGGUGAAACCCUGUCCCUACUAAAAAUACACAAAUUAGCUGGGUGUGGAGGUGAGCACCUGUAAUCCCAGCUACUCAGGAGGCUGAAGCAAGAGAAUCGCUGGAACCUGGGAGGCGGAGGCUGCAGUAAGGCGAGAUCAAGCAACUGCACUCCAGCCUGGGUGACAGAGCAAGAUUCCAUCUCAAAAAACAAAAACAAACAAAACUCUCAGCUUAACUUCUUACCUCCUUGGAUGGUAGAGAAGCCAUCCGGGCUUUGUAAAAGUAAAAAGAGUACCUUAUUUGAUUCAACUAAAUAAAUUGUUAAAUAAAGGGGAAUAUCAGUGAAAAGCUCUUCCACCCCAGCCUCACUAGUUAAAGUACCAAUUAGGGGAAGUUUUUUUGGUAUCCUGAAAUUGCUUUUGGCCUUUCCAUGCAUAUCAUCCUUAAGAAAGGGCACACUCUUAAACCAAUCUGUGACCUCAUACCAUUCUAAAAAAAAAAAAAUUUAUACCAAAAGUGCACAAUUUAGCUGUUUUCAUUAAGCCAACAAUAUUUUAUAAGCAUAUGCAAGCAAAGAUUAUUCUGUCAUGUGCUGGGCUUUAUCAUUUGUAACCCUUAGGGCAAAUCUUAUAGUAUUGUUGGAGGAAUAAUCAUAAAACCACUUGAUUUUUUUUUUUUUUUUGAGACGGAAUCUCUGUCAGCCAGCGUAGAGUACAGUGGUGCAAUCUCGGCUCACUGCAACCUCUGCUUCCUGGGUUAAAGCCAUUCUCCUCCCUCAGCUUCCUGAGUAGCUGGGAUUACAGUCAUGCACAAUGGUACCUGGCCAACUUUUGGUAUUUUUAGUAGAGACAGGGUUUCAUCAUGUUGUCCAGGCUGGUUUCGAACUCCUGACUUCAAGUGAUCCACCCACCUUGGCCUCCCAAAGUGCUGGGAUUAUAGACAUGAGCCACUGAGGCUGGCCAAAAACCCCUUGAUUAAAAAAAAUGUUCCGGACGCGGUGGCCCACACCUGUAAUCCCAGCACUUUGGGAUGCCGAGGUGGGUGGAUCACAAGGUCGGGAGUUCAAGACCAGCCUGGCCAAGAUGGUGAAACUCCGUCUCUACUAAAAAUACAAAAAUUAGCCAGGCAUGGUGGCAGGCGUCUGUAAUACCAGCUACUCAGGAGGCUGAGGCAGAGAACUGCUUGAACCCGGGAGGGGGAGCUUGCAGUGAGCCAAGAUCGCGCCACUGCACUCCAACCUGAGCGACAGAGUGAGACUACAUCUCAAAAAAAAAGUUAACAAAAUGCUAACAAUAUUUAAGACAUUGCUGAUACUAUUUUACCAAUAAUUUUAAAGUCGCCUUAUUAAAGAUUAUAUGUAAGUCACAAACUUUUUUUUUUUUUGAGAUGGAGUCUCACAGUCUCACCCAGGCUGGAGUG